Molecule: ribosomal RNA, 751 nt
Filed under: uncultured Pseudomonas sp.
Lineage: Bacteria; Pseudomonadati; Pseudomonadota; Gammaproteobacteria; Pseudomonadales; Pseudomonadaceae
Description: bacterial SSU rRNA
Rfam family: Bacterial small subunit ribosomal RNA
Source: RNAcentral
AUUGAACGCUGGCGGCAGGCCUAACACAUGCAAGUCGAGCGGAUGAGGGGAGCUUGCUCCCUGAUUCAGCGGCGGACGGGUGAGUAAUGCCUAGGAAUCUGCCUGGUAGUGGGGGACAACGUUUCGAAAGGAACGCUAAUACCGCAUACGUCCUACGGGAGAAAGCAGGGGACCUUCGGGCCUUGCGCUAUCAGAUGAGCCUAGGUCGGAUUAGCUAGUUGGUGAGGUAAUGGCUCACCAAGGCUGCGAUCCGUAACUGGUCUGAGAGGAUGAUCAGUCACACUGGAACUGAGACACGGUCCAGACUCCUACGGGAGGCAGCAGUGGGGAAUAUUGGACAAUGGGCGCAAGCCUGAUCCAGCCAUGCCGCGUGUGUGAAGAAGGUCUUCGGAUUGUAAAGCACUUUAAGUUGGGAGGAAGGGCAGUAAGUUAAUACCUUGCUGUUUUGACGUUACCGACAGAAUAAGCACCGGCUAACUUCGUGCCAGCAGCCGCGGUAAUACGAAGGGUGCAAGCGUUAAUCGGAAUUACUGGGCGUAAAGCGCGCGUAGGUGGUUUGUUAAGUUGGAAGUGAAAGCCCCGGGCUCAACCUGGGAACUGCUUUCAAAACUGGCAAGCUAGAGUAUGGCAGAGGGUGGUGGAAUUUCCUGUGUAGCGGUGAAAUGCGUAGAUAUAGGAAGGAACACCAGUGGCGAAGGCGACCACCUGGGCUAAUACUGACACUGAGGUGCGAAAGCGUGGGGAGCAAACA